GAGUGAGCGUAGAUCUUUUAGAAUUUUUCUAACAGGAUUUCUGACCUUGGUCAGAAAAACCCAU
This 64-nucleotide small nuclear RNA is filed under the name Mus pahari (shrew mouse). RNAcentral describes it as "predicted gene, 25486 (MGP_PahariEiJ_G0033792.1)". It matches the Rfam family "U7 small nuclear RNA". Rfam says of the family: Animal histone pre-mRNAs are spliced by a different mechanism than nuclear pre-mRNAs and self-splicing introns. This processing involves the U7 snRNP, which contains only one RNA species: U7. The record is from RNAcentral. Lineage: Eukaryota; Metazoa; Chordata; Mammalia; Rodentia; Muridae.